CCUACGGGAGGCAGCGGUGAGGAAUAUUGGUCAAUGGACGAGAGUCUGAACCAGCCAAGUAGCGUGAAGGAUGACUGCCCUAUGGGUUGUAAACUUCUUUUAUAUGGGAAUAAAACGUUCCACGUGUGGGAUUUUGUAUGUACCAUAUGAAUAAGGAUCGGCUAACUCCGUGCCAGCAGCCGCGGUAAUACGGAGGAUCCGAGCGUUCUCCGGAUUUAUUGGGUUUAAAGGGAGCGUAGGUGGAUUGUUAAGUCAGUUGUGAAAGUUUGCGGCUCAACCGUAAAAUUGCAGUUGAAACUGGCAGUCUUGAGUACAGUAGAGGUGGGCGGAAUUCGUGGUGUAGCGGUGAAAUGCUUAGAUAUCACGAAGAACUCCGAUUGCGAAGGCAGUUCACUGGACUGCAACUGACACUGAGGCUCGAAAGUGUGGGUAUCAAACAGGAUUAGAUACCCGGGUAGUC
Molecule: ribosomal RNA, 460 nt
Filed under: uncultured bacterium
Lineage: Bacteria
Description: partial 16S ribosomal RNA
Rfam family: Bacterial small subunit ribosomal RNA
Source: RNAcentral